Long non-coding RNA from Mauremys mutica (yellowpond turtle), 401 nucleotides. RefSeq lists it as uncharacterized. The transcript has 4 exons. NCBI's taxonomy places the organism in Eukaryota, Metazoa, Chordata, Testudines, Geoemydidae. The record is from RefSeq and is a predicted model, not a curated record.
CACCACCUCUCUUUCUAUACAAGAACCAGGCCAACAUGAAUUCUCUCUGGGUACUGACUCUGAAAGACAAUACAUCUGGGAAUGAUGUGAUAAGCUCAGCACUAAAAAUGCUGAUCUGCAAGAGCUGUGAAAAUCACUCCUUUUAAUAUCAUAUUCCAGAAAAUGCAUCCAGGUGGUCCACUGCACCCACACAGAGCCCCUUUGAAGUUCAUGAAGAGCCACACAGAAGCAGGGCUCUGCUGGAGUUCAUCUUACUGCAAGACUGGAGCCAUAUUGGUGGAGACAGAAGAACUACUGCAGUUCAACAUCAAGCUGCUGAAACUCUGACCCGUCUACACAACCGUGACGUGCAGAGGCAUCGGCAGGAGCCCCCAGAUGAGAGGAUCCUGACUGGUCAUCAG